This 1040-nucleotide long non-coding RNA is filed under the name Homo sapiens (human). Its description in RNAcentral is "HSALNT0285067". The record is from RNAcentral. Lineage: Eukaryota; Metazoa; Chordata; Mammalia; Primates; Hominidae.
AUCUUGGAGGCAGCUGCCAGUGGAUAGGAGGAACAGAUAAGCUGCUGAUCACCAGUGGGAGGGCCUUUUGUAGUCACCACAUGGCUGACAUUGUGGGCCAACUUGAGGUCUGAUUGGAUGAAGUGACACACAGCGCAGCGUUCAAGGUGAUUUGGAUGGUCCUGUUGCUUGGCAUCUUAUCAACCAGUCACGGUGGGCGUUGGCCGACCUAAACACCUUGUCUCUUUGCCUCCCUCAGAAAAAGUUACACAGAUAGAUGCCCCACAGGGCAGAAAGCUCAUCCGCCCCCCACCUCAGCUGAUCCAUGUCACACAUGAGCACUUUGAAGGGUGUCACUGAAAACUCCCAAAGAGGCAAUUUCAUCUCGUGCUCCUUGAAGAGAGCCUGACCUCCAGAGCCCAAGUCCAUUAUGCCAGAGGAAUGACUAUGGCCCCAUGUGAACCAUUUCUCACCCAUCUCAGAAUCUACUCUUAUCCUGGGCUAAGCCACCCUGGCUUGAGCAGGAUCUCCCUGACACGGCAGCCAAGGGCUCCUGGGCAUAAAAGAACCUGGCUGUUUGGCUCCUGUCCUCAGUUCUGAUCAACCCCUUCAGUGAAUGGGGAUAAGGAACAAUGACAAAGCCACAGUCUCCAAGCAGACAACACAAAAAGAAAAGAGCUUUGAUUAAAAAAAAUUAGAAAUACUCAACAUUUACCAAGACCAAAACUGCAUUCUUUUUUUUUCAGGAAUCCUACUUGGAUACACUUUGAAACAAGAGCAAACCAAAACACAAUAUACUUCAAAUAGUUUGUUGAAUAUACAAACUAUGAUAGUUCAAAUCUGAAAACUGGUACUUUUCCUCUUAAACUUCAACUAAGUAAAAAAGAAAAGAAAGAAAACUCCAGGUAUUAGAGCUACCUGACAAAAACUGAUGCUGAACCUGAUCUUCCAAGUGACAGUGGAACUGAAACUGAUGUGUCUGCACAGAUGCCAGGGCUACAUGGGUGGCACAAUUGCAGUCUCCACAUCAUCUUUCUACUGGUUUUCCAUGGAUUCUGAUU